UACGUAGGGUGCAAGCGUUGUUCGGAAUUACUGGGCGUAAAGGGCGCGUAGGCGGGCUUGUAAGUUAGUUGUGAAAUCCCCGGGCUUAACCCGGGACGUGCAACUAAAACUGUGAGUCUUGAGUAUUGGAGAGGAUGGCGGAAUUGCAGGUGUAGAAGUGAAAUUCGUAGAUAUCUGCAAGAACACCGGAGGCGAAGGCGGCUGUCUGGCCAAAUACUGACGCUGAGGCGCGAAAGCUAGGGGAGCAAACGGG
RNAcentral lists this ribosomal RNA (253 nucleotides) under uncultured bacterium. RNAcentral's name for it is "partial 16S ribosomal RNA". It matches the Rfam family "Bacterial small subunit ribosomal RNA", at positions 524 to 776 of the family's 1533-position model. The record is from RNAcentral.